Molecule: non-coding RNA, 47 nt
Filed under: Colinus virginianus (northern bobwhite)
Lineage: Eukaryota; Metazoa; Chordata; Aves; Galliformes; Odontophoridae
Description: Guanidine-II sequence
Rfam family: Guanidine-II riboswitch aptamer (mini-ykkC)
About the family: Simpler in structure and has fewer highly conserved nucleotide positions than the ykkC-yxkD leader. Despite this each of its two stem-loop structures directly bind free guanidine.
Source: RNAcentral
CGGCGGGGACGGCCCCCCCCAAAAAUCCUCACCUGGGGACGGCCCCC